ACCGAUCUUGGCCUGGGGACCACACAACUUGGAGAUACCAGUACACAGACUUUGAAUGUGGAAAUAGCUUGCUAGAUUGCCCCAGAAGCCUGAAAGAUUGCCUGUCUGCUUCUAAGGUUAUGUCUUCACUACUGGCUGGAUCGGCAGGCAGCGAUGGAUCCAGUGAGUAUUGAUUUAUCGCAUCUAGUCUAGACGUGAUAAAUCGACCCCCGCGUGCUCUCCCGUUGACUCCUGUACUCCAGCUCGGUGAGAGGCGCAGGAAGGCCACCACGCAUCACAUUGCUGACUCAUGCCGAGGCUGUGAUCCACCACAACUUUCCCAUUCUUCUCAGCAGUGCUGCUGCCAAGCCAGUUCUUCAGUCAUUGGGGUGGCUUUCAACUUCCUGGUUACAGACAACAAAACAGAGCGACUCUGAUCAAGGGUAGCGUUAACAUCACCCUUUGAAGGAAAAAAAUAGAGAUUGUGAUUUCUAACAAGGAAGCUUUGGAAAAACACUGAUGAUCCCCAAUCUUUUUCGGUGAUUCAGGGAGAUAUACUGCAUGCUAGCAGAAUCACCAUCACUGCUAUUAUCCUGACCUGCAUACUCUGAAAUCAACUGUAUAUGACUCCUUUAACCAUUUAAUAACCCUCUUAUUUUCUAUUAAUAAAUCUUUAGUUCAUUAAA
Molecule: long non-coding RNA, 665 nt
Organism: Gopherus flavomarginatus (Mexican gopher tortoise)
Lineage: Eukaryota; Metazoa; Chordata; Testudines; Testudinidae
Exons: 5
Source: RefSeq, a predicted model, not a curated record